Molecule: ribosomal RNA, 515 nt
Filed under: uncultured bacterium
Lineage: Bacteria
Description: bacterial SSU rRNA
Rfam family: Bacterial small subunit ribosomal RNA
Source: RNAcentral
GGCUCAGGAUGAACGCUGGCAGCGUGCCUAAUACAUGCAAGUCGAACGCGGGCACUUGUGCCCGAGUGGCGAACGGGUGAGUAAUACAUAAGUAACCUGGCCUUUACAGGGGGAUAACUGCUGGAAACGGCAGCUAAGACCGCAUAGGUAGGGACACUGCAUGGUGACCGUAUUAAAAGUGCUGCAAGGCACUGGUAGAGGAUGGACUUAUGGCGCAUUAGCUGGUUGGUGAGGUAACGGCUCACCAAGGCGACGAUGCGUAGCCGACCUGAGAGGGUGACCGGCCACACUGGGACUGAGACACGGCCCAGACUCCUACGGGAGGCAGCAGUAGGGAAUUUUCGGCAAUGGGGAGAACCCUGACCGAGCAACGCCGCGUGAAGGAAGAAGGAAUUCGUUCUGUAAACUUCUGUUAUAAAGGAAGAAAGACGGAUGGAGGAAAUGACAUCCGAGUGACGGUACUUUAUGAGAAAGCCACGGCUAACUACGUGCCAGCAGCCGCGGUAAUACGUAGG